GGGGGCGUAAAGGUUUCGACGGGGAUUCUGAAGUAUGAUAAGCGAGCGGAGCACGGCGUGAUCUCCAUAACCGACGCCACGUUUAAAUAUAAACGCAAGAAAUAACAUUACAGUUUCUAGAAAUAGCGAACUGGUAGCUGCUUAAGUCAGCUUCUGUCCAACGGAUGAGUACCACGGCUUCCGCUUGGGCAUUGAUCAGUGGUGAACGAAUCUGAGGAGUGUCCGUGCCUCAGGUUUGUAUACGGACUACUCUGGCUUUCAGCCCGUUUACCGGCGGUCAGUCAGGGGAAUUUUAAUAGGUAAAAUACGCUCGUAGAAAGUUGUAUGGAUGGGUUUUCGGACGCGAGUUCAAUUCUCGCCGCCUCCACCA
RNAcentral lists this transfer-messenger RNA (370 nucleotides) under Ruminococcus flavefaciens. It matches the Rfam family "transfer-messenger RNA". Rfam says of the family: Bacterial tmRNA, also known as 10Sa RNA or SsrA, is named for its dual tRNA and mRNA-like properties. Its role is to liberate the mRNA from a stalled ribosome. Lineage: Bacteria; Bacillati; Bacillota; Clostridia; Eubacteriales; Oscillospiraceae. RNAcentral also lists the same sequence under 1 other name. The record is from RNAcentral.